Molecule: ribosomal RNA, 1388 nt
Filed under: uncultured bacterium
Lineage: Bacteria
Description: bacterial SSU rRNA
Rfam family: Bacterial small subunit ribosomal RNA
Source: RNAcentral
GAUGAACGCUGGCGGCGUGCCUAAUACAUGCAAGUCGAACGAGUUCUGAUUAUUGAAAGGUGCUUGCAUCUUGAUUUAAUUUUGAACGAGUGGCGGACGGGUGAGUAACACGUGGGUAACCUGCCCUUAAGUGGGGGAUAACAUUUGGAAACAGAUGCUAAUACCGCAUAAAUCCAAGAACCGCAUGGUUCUUGGCUGAAAGAUGGCGUAAGCUAUCGCUUUUGGAUGGACCCGCGGCGUAUUAGCUAGUUGGUGAGGUAACGGCUCACCAAGGCAAUGAUACGUAGCCGAACUGAGAGGUUGAUCGGCCACAUUGGGACUGAGACACGGCCCAAACUCCUACGGGAGGCGGCAGUAGGGAAUCUUCCACAAUGGACGCAAGUCUGAUGGAGCAACGCCGCGUGAGUGAAGAAGGCUUUCGGGUCGUAAAACUCUGUUGUUGGAGAAGAAUGGUCGGCAGAGUAACUGUUGUCGGCGUGACGGUAUCCAACCAGAAAGCCACGGCUAACUACGUGCCAGCAGCCGCGGUAAUACGUAGGUGGCAAGCGUUAUCCGGAUUUAUUGGGCGUAAAGCGAGCGCAGGCGGUUUUUUAAGUCUGAUGUGAAAGCCCUCGGCUUAACCGAGGAAGUGCAUCGGAAACUGGGAAACUUGAGUGCAGAAGAGGACAGUGGAACUCCAUGUGUAGCGGUGAAAUGCGUAGAUAUAUGGAAGAACACCAGUGGCGAAGGCGGCUGUCUGGUCUGUAACUGACGCUGAGGCUCGAAAGCAUGGGUAGCGAACAGGAUUAGAUACCCUGGUAGUCCAUGCCGUAAACGAUGAAUGCUAGGUGUUGGAGGGUUUCCGCCCUUCAGUGCCGCAGCUAACGCAUUAAGCAUUCCGCCUGGGGAGUACGACCGCAAGGUUGAAACUCAAAGGAAUUGACGGGGGCCCGCACAAGCGGUGGAGCAUGUGGUUUAAUUCGAAGCAACGCGAAGAACCUUACCAGGUCUUGACAUCUUUUGAUCACCUGAGAGAUCAGGUUUCCCCUUCGGGGGCAAAAUGACAGGUGGUGCAUGGUUGUCGUCAGCUCGUGUCGUGAGAUGUUGGGUUAAGUCCCGCAACGAGCGCAACCCUUAUGACUAGUUGCCAGCAUUUAGUUGGGCACUCUAGUAAGACUGCCGGUGACAAACCGGAGGAAGGUGGGGAUGACGUCAAAUCAUCAUGCCCCUUAUGACCUGGGCUACACACGUGCUACAAUGGAUGGUACAACGAGUUGCGAGACCGCGAGGUCAAGCUAAUCUCUUAAAGCCAUUCUCAGUUCGGACUGUAGGCUGCAACUCGCCUACACGAAGUCGGAAUCGCUAGUAAUCGCGGAUCAGCACGCCGCGGUGAAUACGUUCCCGGGCCU